Poecilia latipinna (sailfin molly) is the source of this 329-nucleotide non-coding RNA. NCBI's taxonomy places the organism in Eukaryota, Metazoa, Chordata, Actinopteri, Cyprinodontiformes, Poeciliidae. The record is from the annotation of a RefSeq genome assembly.
GAGACUCAGUGACGCAGACAGAAAGAGAAGUUGUUGCUGCUGCAGGAAGCUCAGUGACUCUGGGAUGUACUUAUCAGACUAGUGAUACAACUCCUAUGUUACUCUGGUAUAAACAAGAAGAAAACAGUUUCCCAAAGUACAUGCUGAAAGAAUAUUAUCAAAUAACAGAUAAUGCUCCAGAGUUCAGCAAAGACAGAUUUGAUGCGAAGGUCAACAACUCAGCGUUUAACCUGAAGAUCCAGGAUCUCCGUCCGUCAGACUCUGCUGUGUACUACUGCGCUCUGCAGCCCACAGUGACAGGAAACACCAGGAGCCUCAUGCAAAAAUGA